RNAcentral lists this long non-coding RNA (15016 nucleotides) under Gossypium raimondii (Peruvian cotton). RNAcentral's name for it is "long non-coding RNA (GRAI_LNC007637)". The record is from RNAcentral. Lineage: Eukaryota; Viridiplantae; Streptophyta; Magnoliopsida; Malvales; Malvaceae.
CCAGCUGCAUAAACCAAGGGAAAAUAUAACUUCCUAAAAGCUCCAGACCCUUUCUUCUUCUAUUGUCCCCUGAGAUACAAUACUGUAGCCACAGCCUAGUUCGGCUGCUUCAACCACUCCUAAUCGUUCUCCACCGCCACCACGGCAAAUCUGGGCACACUUUGUAACAGAAGUCUUUUUCACUCUUUACUCCUCUUCUUCCUUCUCUAUUUGCUCUAGCCGCCGCCUUCACUCCACUAUGCAGUAAAUCAUUGUCGACGUCCCUCAGGUCAACUGAUAUCACCAGAGUAUAGCUCUCUUCCUCAUCAAUCUAUUUUGCUUCUGUUGGUUUGUAUUUUAUGUAAAUUUUGGUUUGAAUGCAGUAAUGGAUACUUCAAAGAUCGGAGUUCAAAAGCUUGAUUUUGCUAGUGCAAUACUGUAAGUGUAACUUUAUUAUUUUUUUUGUUUGUUAAUUUUCCGCUUUAAAUGUUACCGUUUAAGACGGGCAGGGAAAAGCCCGGCUACCUGUUCUUCUCAGGCUGUCUUUCAACAUCCUCUAUUGAAUCUCAAGUACUAGGCUAUUUUAUCCAAAUGACACAAAAAUAAUAAUAAUUAAUUAUGUUAAUGACUUAAAAGUGAUUUAAAGUGAACACUAAAGUGGGGUUAAGGGUAAUAAAUGGUGACAUUAGAUAAAUUUUUGACACAACCAUCAAGCGGUAAAAAAAUUUAGGGUGUUAAAGACACUUAUGGCCAGCACUCUAUUACUAAAUAAUAAAAAAAACAAUAUUUUUGAGUGUUGCAACAUUAAUUGUCGGCACCUCAAUAUCAAAUUUAAAAAAAAAAUAUUUUUUUGGUUGUUGGGACAAUAAUUUUCGACUUCCCAGUAGUAGAUUUAAAAAAAAAUAUUUUUUUCAGUUGUUAGGAUAUUGAUAGUCGGCACUCUUUCAAUAUAUAGAGUUAUUUUGUCUUUCAUUUAAGCUUUCUUUUUUCUUUAGUUGAAAAUGGAUAUUAAUAAUAUUAGUGUUUUGUUUGUUGAGGAGAAAGUAGAAAUUGUUGAAGAUGAGUUUUGAAAUUUUGUUUAUUUAUAUUUAUCUUGAUUGGGAAAUGAUAAAUACUGGUUUUUUAUAAAAAUAUUAUAAAAAAAUACAAAAUAACCAAAAUUUUAUAACUUUUUUAUUUACCAAAAAAUAUAUAUAUUUANNNNNNNNNNNNNNNNNNNNNNNNNNNNNNNNNNNNNNNNNNNNNNNNNNNNNNNNNNNNNNNNNNNNNNNNNNNNNNNNNNNNNNNNNNNNNNNNNNNNAAAAGGGGGGUCGGUGGUGGGGGGGCAGAAGGAGAGGGAAAGAAAGAAAGGAAGGAGAGGAAAGAAAGAAAAAGAAGGAAAGAAAAGGAAAGGAGAAGAGAAAAAAAGAAAGAAGAGGAAAAGGAAAGGAGAAGAAAAAAGAAAGAAAGAAGGAAAGAAAAGGAAAGGAGAAGAGAAAAAAAGAAGAAGAAGAAGAGGGAAGAAAGGAGAAGAAAAAAGAAAAGAAAGGUAUUUUUUUUAUAAAUUUAAAUUUUUUGUAAUAUUUGUAUGUUUAAAAUUUAUGUUAUGUACGUUAUAGUUAUUUUAUUAUUUUAUUUAGCAUAUACAUUUUAUAAAAUAUAUUUAAAAUAAAAAAAUAAUGGUAUGUACAUUGUAUGCUAGGGUUUUUUAUAAAAAUAUUAUAAAAAAUAAAAAAUAACCAAAAUGUUAUAAAAUUUUUUUUAUUUACCAAAAUAUAUAAAAAAACUUGCAAAAAAAACUGCACCGAUGUGACGACAUCUUGGUCAUGCCAAAGCCAUUGGCGGCAACAAAGGUGCCAAAACCAUUUGCGGCACCAAUGGUGCCAUACUGAUUAGCAGCACUACUCGUAUUAUAAAUACGAGUUCUGUCCAGCUGAAGGGAGAAAAAUCAAAAGAAAAAGAAGAAAAAGAAGAAAAAGAAGAGGUGCUGCGGAAAAGAAGAGAAAAAGAUAGAAAAAGAAGAGAAAAAGAAGGUAUUUUUUUAAAAAUAAUUGAUUAUAUUUUUGUUAUUAUUUUGUAUAUUUUGUAAUAUUUUUUGUUUUAAUUUAGUUAUUAAGAUUAAUAAAACUAAAAAUAAUAGUAUUAGCUAGUAUUAUUAUUAUUAUUGUUGUUGUUGUUAUUAGUAUUAAGAUGUUAUUAAUAUAUUAAGAUGUAACUCAGUAAUAUUAUUGUUAGCAAAAAACUAGUAUUAUUAUUAUUGUUACUUAUUAUUUUUAUUUACCAAAAUAAACUAGUUUGUAAAAAACUAGUAUUAUUAUUAUAGUUAGUUAGUUAGUUAUUAUUUUUAGUAAAAUUAAUAAUUUUAGUAUGUAUUAUUUUGAGUAUAAAAUUAUUAAUAUUAUUAGUGUGUUAGUUAUAAGGAUUAGUGGUUAAACGGUUUUCAUGUACAAAAUUGCAUAUUGAAACAUUAAAUUUUUUUAAGUAAUUUAGUUACCGUUCGAGAAUUUUUAUGAGAUUUUAUUUUUUUACAGAUUAAAUAUUGAAGAUGGAUGCUAAGUUUCUUGUAUGCGUUUAUUUCGAUGGAGUCAUCUUAACAACAAGUGUUGGAUGUGUAUUUAAAUGUCGGCAACAAAUAGCAAUGAGAUUUAAUAGAAAUGUAUCGUUCGAUGAAAUGAAGGCAAGAAUUAAUUCAAAAAUUCAUAGACGUUGUGGGAGAAGGAUAUUAAAAAUUUUCUACAAGUUUCCAGUUUCGAUAAAUCUGGUCAAAUUUGUCGAAAUGGAACUUGAAGACGACGAAGACGUGGGGACAAUGGUUGAUCUCUACUGUGGGAAUAAGAGUGAGAAGAAUGCACCGAUUCACUUAUUUGCUGAGUUAGUCGGUAUGGAGCAAAAUGAAGAUGUUAAUGCAUCUGAUGAAGAAGACGGGGCUGAAGAACCGUGGAUGGUGGCUCCAAUAUCAUACGUUGAUAGUGAAUCAACUAUGGGUGAGAUCGGUAUCGACCUGAAUAUUACACCCGAUGUUGACAUGGUUGGUGGUAAAGAAGAAGGUGCUGUCGAAUAAGAAAGCGGUGGCGAUCAUUGGGAUAAAGAGGUCGAUAGUGACGGUGAUACCGAUGUGGAUAAUGUACCUGAUGAUAUUUACAAUAAAGAUGUUAACAACGAUGAAGACAUUAACGCUUCUUCGGUCGAGGAGCAGAUGCGGCGUAUUUUGAUACACAAUAAUCUUGGGCCAUACAUGUCGCUCAUAGACCCCGACGCAGCAUAUGUAGCUGAGUUUCCGGAGUAUCCUGAAAUAGUUCAUUCUCACGAGCUGGCCGUAACAUCUGAUUAUUAUGAGUUAUUCAUAGGCCAGAGAUUCAGCUGUAAAGAAGAGUGCGUAUAUGCCAUUAAACGGUAUAGCAUGAAUUAUAAAGUCUCCGUGUCUACUCCGAAAAUAUAUGUUAGGGAGUGUUGGAAGGCAGCGGAAGGCUGCAAUUGGCGGGUACGAGCUGCAUUUAUUAGAAGUUCUCAGAUGUGGGAAAUACGAAAAUUUGUUGGUCCUCAUACAUGCACAUCAACAUGUAUGAUAGAAGAUCAUGAAAAAUUUGAUUCGAAAACUAUUUGUACGUGUAUCAUGCCAAUGGUGAAAGACAUGCCGAUAAUUAAAGUUUCGGUAAUCAUUGCAGAAAUGUAAGCAUGAUUCCAGUAUCGAGUCUAAUAUCAGAAGGUAUGGAUAGCUAAACAGAUGGCGAUGGAGCAACUGUAUGGGAAUUACGAUUUGUCGUAUAACGAGCUUUAAGGUUGGAUAGCUGUUAUGCGGGAGUACGUACCGGGGACUGUGAUUGAGUUGCAAACAAGUCCAUAUUACAGCCCGGAUAACCAGUUACAGCCGGUAAAAAGAUUUUCCAUCGGAUGUUCUGGACAUUCGAUCCAUGUGUGCGGGCAUUUCCCCACAGUAAGCCACUUGUGCAGGUGGAUGAGACCUGGCUGUAUGGAAAAUAUACACAGAUCCUACUUCUUGCAGUUGCUCAAGGCGGUAACAGAAACGUGCUCUCGAUAGCAUUUGCUAUCGUAGAUAAAGAGAACAUGGAGUUUUGAGAAUUUUUUCUUACAAAUCUGCGGAGGUAUGUUAUUAGGAACGAUAACAUUUGCAUCAUCUCCGAUAAAGGGAAGGGUUUAAUUACAGUUAUUAGGCGUUCCGGUGUGUCGUGAAGAUCUAUUUACUGCAUUCGUCAUAUUGCGUCUAACUUCCAUAAAGAUUAUAAGAAUGCAGACUGGAAGAGACAAGUCGUGGCAAUGGGUAAAUGAUAACCUUAUCUUUUCAAUAUAAGAUGUAAUGUUUGAUGUUAUCGACUUAUUAGAACUUAUUUUUCGUUAAUACGUAUGCAGCGUACGAGUUAGAGUUACAUAUUUUUCAGCAAAGAAUGAUCCGACUUGAAAGUAACAUGGAGGGGCAGACGAACACAUCUUUCCGACAAUGGUUGCGCACAAUAGAGUCGUGGCAGUUGACUCAAAGUUUUGACGAGAGCUUUCGUUAUGGCCACAUUGCCACAGAAAUAGAAUAGAUGUCAUGAAUAUUAGAAUAGCGUCUUACCCAUUCCCGGGCAUGCAGUUCAAUCCUAAGGCGGUAUAUUGGGACAUCACACGACUUCCCGAUGCCUAGACGGGUCGUCCACCUAAAUAAAACAGUAUAGGGUUUAGGGUUGGUAACAUUACUUAACAUAUUAUUACUACAAAUAAUGACAAUUUAUAUUUUAUCACCUGAGUGAUAGUGGAUACAGAUAGGGUUGUUGACUAACGCGUGCCAAAAACGGCAAUUAAUAAAGCGCCCAGGACUGCAGCAGUAUGAGGCAUCCGCCGAUGUCUUUAAUAUGCGGCUCUGUCGCCCGACAAAGCUCCCGGUACAGUGUUGCUAGAACGAUGGAACCCCAGCUAUACGACCUAGCAGUGGACAAAUAAGCUAGCAGGGGCAAGUACGACAAAUGCACACUGUCGCCGUUUGCAUCAGGCAUGAGUACUGCCCCUAUCAUAUGCAUGAUGUACGCUCGAGCAGCGCACAUCAACUCACCUUCAGUGGCGAUCGCUGAUAAUUGUCCAAUUUUAGCUUUUAGCCAUAUAAAUUUUAUGCCGAAAAAAUAUUUAUCACCGUCCUCUGGUGACUCUCCUAGGAGUUGAUAGCAAAGUGCAGUCGGAUCGGUGAAUGAAUAUACUCCCGUUAUGGGACUCCCGUCAAUUGGGAGCCCAAGCUGCACUGCAACAUCCUCCAAGGUCACCGUGCACUCCACGCACAGAAAAUGAAAAGUGUGGGUCUCCGGACGCCACCGUUCCACUAGCGCAGAUAAUGGCUGUUUUACCAAACUAACCCAAAAAUAAAUUAUGUUUGAAAAAAUAACCCAAGUUUAAAAACAAUCACUAAAAUAACCUAAAAUAAACAGUACCCACUCGUUUUUUGCACCAAUGAUUGUCUAAUAAUUGUGUCAGAAUUUUAAAAAUUAAGUUUUUGGGUUCUGGCCUAUCAGUGGUCGGAACCCAUGUAUUUUUUUAAAAAUUUGUAUAAUACUGAUAUAUGAAAAAUGAGGAAGAAAAAAAAGAAAAAAAUUAUUUUUUGGGUGCUGGCCUGUCAAUGGCCGGCACCCAACAGUAAAAAAAAUUUCUUUUUUUUUGUCAGAAUAAGAUAUAAAUAUACGAAAAAAAUAAAAAAAAAUUUUGGGUGCUGGCCUGUCAAUGGCCGUCACCCAGUACAAUUUUAAAUUUUUUUUUCGUGUCAGAGUCAGAUAUAAAUAUACGAAAAAAAUAAUUUUGGUGCCGGCUUGUCAAUGGUCGGCACCCAGUACAAUUUUAAAUUUUUUUUACUUUUUUUUCGUGUCAGAGUAAGAUAUAAAUAUAACGAAAAAUUAAAAAAAAAUUUUUGGGUGCUGGCCUGUCAAUGGCCUGCACCCAGUACAAAUUAAAAAAAAUUUCUUUUUUUUCGUGUCAGAGUCAGAUAUAAAUAUAUUAAAAAAAUUAAAAAAAAAUUUGGGUGCUGGCCUGUCAAUGGUCCGCACCCAGUACAAUUAAAAUUUUUUUUUCCAUGUCAGAGUCAGAUAUAGAUAUACGAAAAAUAUGCGCUAUUAAUAGAUAGAUUCAGUUCUUAGAGGAUACCUUAAUCGAAGAUGCAAGAAUUAAAGAAAUAAGUUUUAAAUUCUGUCAUAGAAAUUCUGAAAAAAAUUUAUCCUUAAUGUAUCGAAAAAUAUGCGCUAUUAAUCACACAAUUAUUUAGAAAUUGCAAACAUUUAGAUUUUGUUCACAUAUUAAUUGUCUUUUUAUUUUUUUUCUAUUUCCUCCUAUUUACUAUUACAAAAUUAAAAUCCCUCAAGUCCUAUAUAUUUUUUUGUAAAUUUAGAAUUUAGUUUGUAUAUUUUUAUUUCUAAGAAUUUAGUCCUAAUAUUUUAAAUAUUACGAAGUUAUAUAUUCAAACAAAUAAUUAUGUUAGAUUCAUUAAAUAAAUAUUAAAAAAAGAAAAAUAUAAAAAUAAAAGGAAUAUUUACAUAAUAAAUUAUAAGAAAGUACAAAUUAACAUAAAAAAUUAAAAUUGUCGCGAUCCUAGGGACGUGCCCGGCGCUGGCGUGUAACGAUCCGGAUGCCUCCGUCGGCGAUGCCGUGCACCUUGCUGAGGCGUUUGAUAAUUGCUCGGUCCAGAGUCCUGUGUCACUUCCGGUGUAGUUAAAAAGGUGGAAUAAUUAUAUUCACCAUAAUCGGGACUUAAUUGGUAUUGCGUGACCGGAGGUGCCGAUGGAAAAAUAUCCUCAGUGGUGGGUGUACGUGCUUCGGGGUGGAAGUCCGGGUGGUAUGGGGAUGACGAUCCGGAUCAUGUCGGAUGUUGACGGUGGAGGUUGUCACCAAAAAAAUCUUUAAAUGAUGGAGGAACUCCAUGUAAUGGAACCGGAUCUAUGAACUGUGAUGAUGAGUCGGAUGCUUCAUUUUCGGCCCCCAAUUCAGCCCCAAACGGCGGAACUCGGUUACUGCGCGGUUGGGCGUUCCUUGGUUGCCAUCGCGAAGAAUCAGGUCGCGCGUCUCUUUGGAUCAGCAUGUACUGACCCUGGAAUAUGAAGGGUUUCCCAUGUGCCAUAUACCAUGCUGCGUACUCGGGCGUAGGAGAGAACCCUCCCUCUAAGACAUACAAGGGAGGGCGCCUCAAAUGUCGCUGAUUCCACAGAAAGAUAUAUGGUUCAUAUUUCUGUGCCCAAUUUAAAGAGUCCCGAGUCGGUCCCUUUUUAUCCAUUCCGUGGACAUCUGAGAUGUCAACGGGAGGCUUCGGGAUAGGCUGUGCGCAACCGAAUUGCCUCAAAACCCGACCUCCAUCGUGCCACUCCACCAUAUAGAAAUUAAUCAACGGCACAUUAGACACGAACACGUGUUGCUGCUCAACCACCAAUGCUAUUAAUGGAUGCCAUAUACUCAGGAAGAUCUCGCGACACUCAUACCGUCAUGGGUGGUCGAGCAGCAAUACGUGUCCGUGUCUAAUGUGCCGUUGAUUAAUUUUCAUACGGUGGAGUGGCACGAUGGAGGUCGGGUUUUGAGGCAAAUCGAUUGCGCACAGCCUAUCCCGAACCCUCCCGUUGACAUCUCAGAUGUCCACAGAAUGGAUAAAAAGGGACCGACUCGAGACUCUUUAAAUUGGGCACAGAAACAUGAACCAUAUAUCUUUCUGUGGAGUCAGCGACAUUUGAGGCGCCCUCCUUUGUAUGUCUUAGAGGGAGAGUUCUCUCCUACGCCCGAGUACGCAGCAUGGUAUAUUGCACAUGGGAAACCCUUCAUAUUCCGGGGUCAGUACAUGCUGAUCCAAAGAGACGCGCGACCUGAUUCUUCGUGAUGGCAACCAAGGAACGCCCAACCGCGUAGUAACCAAGUUCCGCCAUUCGGGGCUGAAUUAGGGGCCGAAAAUGAAGUAUCCAACUCAUCAUCACAGUUCAUAGAUCCGAAUCAACUGCAUGGAGUUCCUCUAUCAUUUGAAGAUUUUUUUGGUGACAACCUCCACCGUCAACAUCCGACACGAUCCGGAUUGUCAUCCUCAUACCACCCGGACUUCCACCCCGAAGCACGUACACCCACCACUGAGGAUAUUUUUCCAUCGGCACCUCCGGUCACACAAUACUAAUUAAGUCCCGAUUAUGGUGAAUAUAAUUAUUCCACCUUUUUAACUACACCGGAAGUGACACAAGACUCUGGACCGAGCAAUUAUCAAAUGCCUCAGCAAAGUGCACGGCAUCGCCGACGGAGGCAUCUGGAUCGUUACACGCCAGCGCCGGGCACGUCCCCAGGAUCGCGACAAUUUUAAUUUUUUAUGUUAAUUUGUACUUUCUUAUAAUUUAUUAUGUAAAUAUUCCUUUUAUUUUUAUAUUUUUCUUUUUUUAAUAUUUAUUUAAUGAAUCUAACAUAAUUAUUUGUUUGAAUAUAGACUUCGUAAUAUUUAAAAAUUUUAGGACUAAAUUCUUAGAAAUAAAAAUAUACAAACUAAAUUCUAAAUUUACAAAAAAAUAUAUAGGACUUGGGGGAUUUUAAUUUUGUAAUAGUAAAUAGGAGGAAAUAGAAAAAAAAUAAAAAGACAAUUAAUAUGUGAACAAAAUCUAAAUGUUUGCAAUUUCUAGAUAAUUGUGUGAUUAAUAGGACAUAUUUUUCGAUACAUUAAGGAUAAAUUUUUUUCAGAAUUUCUAUGACAGAAUUUAAAACUUAUUUCUUUAAUUCUUACAUCUUCGAUUAAGGUCCACUUAGUGUAUCCUCUAAGAAUUGAAUCUAUCUAUUAACAGCGCAUAUUUUUAGUAUAUUUAUAUCUGACUCUGACACGAAAUUUUUUUUUAAAUUGUACUGGGUGCCGGCCAUUGACAGGCCAGCACCCAAAAUUUUUUUUUAAGUUUUUUUCGUAUAUUUAUAUCUGAUUCUGACACGAAAAAAAGAUUUUUUUAAUUUGUACUGGGUGCUGAUUUUUUUUUAUUUUUUCGUAUAUUUAUAUCUGACUCUGACACGAAAAAAAAAGUAAAUUUUUUUUAAAUUGUACUGGGUGCCACCCAUUGACAGGCCGGCACCCAAAAUUUUUUUUAUUUUUUCGUAUAUUUAUAUCUGACUCUGACACGAAAAAAAAGAAUUUUUUUUAAAUUGUACUGGGUGCCGGCAAUUGACAGGCUAGUACCCAAAUUUUUUUUUAUUUUUUUCGUAUAUUUAUAUCUUAUUCUGACAAAAAAAAAGGAAAUUUUUUUUACUGUUGGGUGCCGGCCAUUGACAGGCCAGCAACCAAAAAAUAUUUUUUUUUUCUUUUUUUUCUCCUUUUUCGUAUAUCAGUAUUAUACAAAUUUUAAAAAAUACAUGAGUUCCGGCCACUGACAGGCCAGAACCCAAAAAAUUAAUUUUUAAAAUUCUGACACAAUUAUUAGACAAUCAUUGGUGCAAAAAACGAGUGAGUACUGUUCAUUUUAGGUUAUUUUGGUGAUUGUUUUUGAACUUGGUUUAUUUUUGCAAAUAUAAUUUAUUUUUGGGUUAGUUUGGUAAAACAGCCGCAGAUAAUAAAUCAAAGCGCAAGUCGGAGGACCGGAUCAAUGCUAUUGACCCAAAUCCGACUAGCUCCAGGUACGGCAUCAAUCGUGCAUCCGGAGCUAUCUUUAAAACACUCACACGGCCACUUAAUACUCGGAACGAGUCCUGAUAGUGUUAAAUUACAGAAAAAAUAUUACGAUAACAUAAUUUAUUUGUAUAUACUGUGUGUAUCUUUUUUAAAUAAAUAGAACUCCUGAUUAACAAAUAAUAAAUCAUACCACGUUAUUAGCCGCAUCAGAUAUGUGUCUAAUAUCGCUUCGAAUCAAUCGAGGCAUUGCGAUGCCUGCAAGUUGAAAAGAAAGUUAGUAAAAAAAUCUUACAUCGGCCAUUUAUUUGUAUUUUUUUCUCCGCAUUUUAUUCCUUUAAAAAAUAUCAUAAUUUCUAAUUUUAUAAUUUUACAUUAUUUCAGUGCAUAAUGUUUAAAAUUUAUUAAUAUAGUUUGUUAUUUAAAUUAAUUUGGUGUAAAAAAAUAACCCUUACCCCUGCCCUUUGCUCGUAUUAUUUUCUCGAUUUUUAUUACUUUAAAUAAAAAUAUAUUAUUCUCCUAUUUUAUUAUUUUAUAUUAUUUCAGUACAUUUUCUUUGAAAUAUUUUGUAUUAUUUAUUUCUGAAUUUUAAAAAAGUUAGUAAUACACUUUUACUUUUGCCAUUUGUUCGUAUUUUUUUCUCCGCAUUUUAUUACUUUAAAAAAUAUCAUAAACUUAGUCUUUUAUAAUUUUACAUUACCUUUUAAUCCCUCCUUAUUUAUUAUUUUCUUUUAUUCCCCCUUAACACACUAAAUUAAUAAAUUUCUAAUAUUAUGCACUGAAAUAAUGUAAAAUUAUAAAAUUAGAAAUUAUGAUAUUUUUUAAAGGAAUAAAAUGCGGAGAAAAAAAUACGAAUAAAUGGCCGAAGUAAGAUUUUUUUACUAACUUUUUUUUCAACUUGCAGGCAUCGCAAUGGCUCGAUUGAUUCGAAGCGAUAUUAGACACAUAUCUGAUGCGGCUAAUAACGCGGUAUGAUUUAUUAUUUGUUAAUCAGUUCUAUUUAUUUAAAAAAGAUAUAUGCAGUAUAUACAAAUAAAUUAUGUUAUCGUAAUAUUUUUUCUGUAAUUUAAUACUAUCAGGACUCGUUCCGAGUAUUAAGGGGCCGUGUGAGUGUUUUAAAGAUAGCUCCGGAUGCACGAUUGAUGCCGUACCUGGAGCUAGCCGGAUUUGGGUCAGUAGCAUUGAUCCGGUCCUCCGACUUGUACUUUAAUUUAUUAUCGGCGCUAGUGGAGCGGUGGCGUCCGGAGACCCACACUUUCCAUUUUCCGUGCGGAGAGUGCACGGUGACCUUGGAGGAUGUUGCAGUGUAGCUUGGGCUCCCAAUUGACGGGAGUCCCGUAACGGGAGUAUCUUCAUUCACCGAUCCGGCUGCACUUUGCUAUCAACUCCUAGGAGAGUCACCAGAGGACGGUGAUAAAUAUUUUUCCGGCAUAAAAUUUACAUGGCUAAAAGCCAAAAUUGGACAAUUAUCAGCGACCGCCACUGAAGGUGAGUUGAUGUGCGCCGCUCGAGCGUACAUCAUGCAUAUGAUAGGGGCAGUACUCAUGCCUGAUGCAAACGGCGACAGUGUGCAUUUGUGUACUUGCCCCUGCUGGCUGAUUUGUCCACUGCUAGGUCGUAUAGCUGGGGUUUCGCCGUUCUAGCAACGUUGUACUGGGAGCUUUUUCGGGCGACAAAGCCGCAUGUUAAAGACAUCGGCGGAUGCCUCAUAUUGCUGCAGUCCUGGGCGCUUUAUCGGAUGUCGUUUUUGGCACGCGUUAGUCACCAACCCUAUCUGUAUCCACUGCCACUCAGGUGAUAAAAUAUAAAUUGUCAUUAUUUGUAGUCAUAAUAUGUUGAGUAAUGUUACCAACCCUAAACCCUAUACUAUUUUAUUUAGGUGGACGACCCGUCUAGGCAUCGGGAAGUCGUGUGAUGUCCCGAUAUACCGCAUUAGGAUUGAAUAGCAUGCCCAGGAAGGGGUAAGAUGCUAUUCUAAUAUUCAUGACAUCUAUUUUAUUUCUAUGGUCAUGUGGCCAUAACGAAAGCCCUCGUCAAAACUUUGAGCCCACUGCUACGGCUCCAUUGUGCGCAACCAUUGUCAGAAAGAUGUGUUCGUCAGCCCUUCCAUGUCACUCUCAAGUCGGAUCAUUCUUUGCUGGAAAAUAUGUGGCUCUAACUCGUACGCUGCAUACGUAUUAACGAAAAAUAAGUUCUAGUAAGUCGAUAACAUCAAACAUUAUAACUUAUAUUGAAAAGAUAAGGUUAUCAUUUACCCAUUGCCACGACUUGUCUCUUCCAGUCUGCAUUCUUAUAAUCUUUAUGGAAGUUAGACGUAAUGUGACGAAUGCAGUAAACGGAUCUCCAUGGCACACCGGAACGCCUAAUAGCUGCAAUUAAACCAUUCCCUCUAUCGGAGAUGAUGCAAAUGUUAUCGUUCCUAAUAACAUACCUCCGCAGAUUUGUGAGAAAGAAUUCCCAAGACUCCAUGUUCUCUUUAUCUACGAUAGCAAAUGCUAUCGGGAGCACGUUUCUGUUACCGUCUUGAGCAACUGCAAGAAGUAGGAUCUGUGUAUAUUUUCCAUACAGCCAGGUUCCAUCCACCUGCACAAGUGGCUUGCAGUGGGGAAAUGCCCUCACACAUGGAUCGAACGUCUAGAAUAUUCGAUGGAAAAUCCUUUUUACUGGCUGUAACUGGUCAUCCGGGCUGUAAUAUGGACUUGUCUGCAACUCAAUCACAGUCCCCGGUACGUACUCUCGCAUAGCAGCUAUACAACCUUGAAGCUCGUUAUACGACGAAUCGUAAUCCCUAUACAGUUGCUCCAUCGCCAUCUGUUUAGCUAACCAUGCCUUCCGAUAUGAGACUCGAUACUGGAAUCGUGCUUGCAUUUCGCAAUGAGUACCGAAACUUUAAUGGUCGGCAUGUCCUUCACCAUUGGCAUGAUACACGUACAAAUAGUUUUCGAAUCAAGUUUUUCAUGAUCUUCUGUCAUACAUGUUGAUGUGCAUGUAUGAGGACCAACAAAUUUUCGUAUUUCCCACAUCUGAGAACUUCUAAUGAAUGCAGCUCGUACCCGCCAAUUGCAGCCUUCCGCUACCUUCCAACACUCCCCAACAUAUAUUGUCGGAGUGGACACGGAGACUUUAUAAUUCAUCGAUAUCUUCAUGCUGUACCGUUUAAUGGCAUAUACGCACUCUUCUUUACAGCUGAAUCUCUGGCCUAUGAAUAACUCAUCAUCAUUAGAUGUUACGGCCAGCCCGUGAGAAUGAACUAUUUCAGGGUACUCUGGUAACUCAGCUACAUACGCUGUGUCGGGGUCUAUGAGCGACAUGUGUGGCCCAGGAUUACUGUGUAUCAAAAUACGCCGCAUCUGCUCCCCGACCGAAGAAGCAUUAAUGCCUUCAUCGUUGUUGACAUCUUCAUUGUCAAUAUCAUCAGGUACAUCGUCCACAUCGGGAUCACCGUCAUUAUCGACCUUUUCAUCCCAAUGAUCGCCACCACCUUCUUCUUCGCCACCACCUUCUUCACCACCAACCAUGUCAACAUCGGGUGUAAUAUUCAGGUCGAUACCGAUCCCACCCAUAGUUGAUUCACUAUCAACGUAUGAUAUUGGAGCCACCAUCCACGGUUCUUUAGCCCCGUCAUCUUCAUCAGAUGCAUUAACUUCUUCAUUUUGCUCCAUACCGACUAACUCAGCAAAUAAGUGAAUCGGUGCAUUCUUCUCACUCCCAUUCCCAUAGUAGAGAUCGACCAUUGUCUCCACGUCUUCGUCGUCUACAAGUUUUAUUUCGACGAAUUUGACCGGAUUUGUCAAAACUGGAAACUUGUAGAAAAUUUUUGAUAUCCUUCUCCCACAACGUUUAUGAAUUUUUGCAUUAAUCCUUGCCUUCAUUUCAUCGAACGAUACAUUUCUAUUAAAUCUCAUUGCUAUUUGUUGCCGACAUUCAAAUACACAUCCAACACUUGUUGUCAAGAUGACUCCAUCGAAAUAAACGCAUACAAGAAACUUAGCUUCCAUCUUCAAUAUUUAAUCUGUCAAAAAAUAAAAUAAAAUCUCAUAAAAAUUCUCGAACGAUAACUAAAUUACUUAAAAAAAAUUGAAUGUUUUAACAUGCAAUUUUGUACAUGAAAACCUUUUAACCACUAAUCCUUAUAACUAACACACUAAUAAUAUUAAUAAUUUUAUACUCAAAAUAAUACACACUAAAAUUAUUAAUUUUACUAAAAAUAAUAACUAACUAACUAACUAUAAUAAUAAUACUAGUUUUUUACUAACUAGUUUAUUUUGGUAAAUAAAAAUAAUAAGUAACCAUAAUAAUAAUACUAGUUUUUUGCUAACAAUAAUAUUACUAAGUUAGAUCUUAAUUCAUUAAUAACAUCUUAAUACUAACAACAACAACAACAACAACAACAACGACAACAACAACAAUAACAACAACAACAACAAUAAUAAUAAUACUAACUAAUACUAUUAUUUUGAGUUUUAUUAAUCUUAAUAACUAAACUAAAACAAAAAUAUUACAAAAUAUACAAAAUAAUAACAACAAUAUAAUCAAUUAGUUUUAAAAAAUACCUUCUUUUUCUCUUCUUUUCUGCAGCACCUCUUCUUCUUCUUCUUUUUCUUUUGAUUUUUCUCCCUUCAGCUGGACAGAGCUCGUAUUUAUAAUACGAGUAGUGCCGCCAAUCAGUAUGGCACCAUUGGUGCCGCCAAUGGCAUUGGCAACAUUGGUGCCGCCAAUGGCAUUGGCACCAUUGGUGCCGCCAAUGGUUUUGGCACCUUUGGUGCCGCCAAUGGCUUUGGCGUGACCAAGGUGCUGUCACAUCGGUGCAGAUUUUUUUGCAAGUUUUUUUUUGAUAUAUUUUGGUAAAUAAAAAAAAGUUAUAACAUUUUGGUUUCUUUUUUAUUUUUUAUAAUAUUUUUGUAAAAAACCCGAUAAAUACAGUUAAAGAAAGUUGUGUCUUUUAAAAUAAACAAAAACUUGGAAUAAGAUUCAAUAAGCGAGUUUUGUUAGUGGAUUUGAAACAGAAAAUUAGUAUAAAUAUAACUACCUGUUGUGGGAAGCAAAUGUUGAGAUUAUUAUAGAUCCUUUCAGGUUUUCAAAAAUGGAGUUUGAAGAUUAUGAUGAUCUAGAAAUAAUAAUAACAAUUUAUUGCCCCUUAAGGUGGAUAACUCUAGCCUGAUUGAGUUGUUUGCAGAGAUAGUUGAACCAUAAUCUAUUGAAGUUGUAAUUUUAGUAAGUCAAUAUUUUGGAAUUGAUUUUGAUUUUAAAUUUUGGUGAGAAGAUCAAUCGCGUUAUGAAGGGUCACUGUAAACUCUCGAAAAUAAGUUGUAAUUUUAGUAAGUAAAUAUUUUGCAAUUGAUUUUGAUUUUAAAUUUUGGUGAGAAGAUCAAUCGCGUUAUGAAGGGUCACUGUAAACUCUCGAAAAUUCAAAUUAUAAUUGAUGUUUGUAUAAUGUCCUAAUCUCGUAUUCUCAUUUAGAGAUUCAUCUAGAUGUGUUAAUCACCA